This 496-nucleotide ribosomal RNA is filed under the name uncultured bacterium. RNAcentral's name for it is "partial 16S ribosomal RNA". It matches the Rfam family "Bacterial small subunit ribosomal RNA", at positions 28 to 506 of the family's 1533-position model. The record is from RNAcentral.
GAUGAACGCUGGCGGCGUGCCUAAUACAUGCAAGUCGAGCGAACAGAUGAGGAGCUUGCUCCUCUGACGUUAGCGGCGGACGGGUGAGUAACACGUGGAUAACCUACCUAUAAGACUGGGAUAACUUCGGGAAACCGGAGCUAAUACCGGAUAAUAUAUUGAACCGCAUGGUUCAAUAGUGAAAGACGGUUUUGCUGUCACUUAUAGAUGGAUCCGCGCCGCAUUAGCUAGUUGGUAAGGUAACGGCUUACCAAGGCAACGAUGCGUAGCCGACCUGAGAGGGUGAUCGGCCACACUGGAACUGAGACACGGUCCAGACUCCUACGGGAGGCAGCAGUAGGGAAUCUUCCGCAAUAGGCGAAAGCCUGACGGAGCAACGCCGCGUGAGUGAUGAAGGUCUUCGGAUCGUAAAACUCUGUUAUUAGGGAAGAACAAAUGUGUAAGUAACUAUGCACGUCUUGACGGUACCUAAUCAGAAAUCCACGGCUAACUACGU